UUUUAUGAGAGUUUGAUCCUGGCUCAGGACGAACGCUGGCGGCGUGCCUAAUACAUGCAAGUAGAACGCUGAAGUCUGGUGCUUGCACUAGACGGAUGAGUUGCGAACGGGUGAGUAACGCGUAGGUAACCUGCCUCAUAGCGGGGGAUAACUAUUGGAAACGAUAGCUAAUACCGCAUAACAGUAUUUACUGCAUGGUAGAUACUUGAAAGGAGCAAUUGCUUCACUAUGAGAUGGACCUGCGUUGUAUUAGCUAGUUGGUGAGGUAACGGCUCACCAAGGCAUCGAUACAUAGCCGACCUGAGAGGGUGAUCGGCCACACUGGGACUGAGACACGGCCCAGACUCCUACGGGAGGCAGCAGUAGGGAAUCUUCGGCAAUGGGGGCAACCCUGACCGAGCAACGCCGCGUGAGUGAAGAAGGUUUUCGGAUCGUAAAGCUCUGUUGUAAGAGAAGAACUGUGAGAAGAGUGGAAAGUUUCUCACUUGACGGUAUCUUACCAGAAAGGGACGGCUAACUACGUGCCAGCAGCCGCGGUAAUACGUAGGUCCCGAGCGUUGUCCGGAUUUAUUGGGCGUAAAGCGAGCGCAGGCGGUUUGAUAAGUCUGAAGUAAAAGGCUGUGGCUUAACCAUAGUACGCUUUGGAAACUGUCAAACUUGAGUGCAGAAGGGGAGAGUGGAAUUCCAUGUGUAGCGGUGAAAUGCGUAGAUAUAUGGAGGAACACCGGUGGCGAAAGCGGCUCUCUGGUCUGUAACUGACGCUGAGGCUCGAAAGCGUGGGGAGCGAACAGGAUUAGAUACCCUGGUAGUCCACGCCGUAAACGAUGAGUGCUAGGUGUUGGGUCCUUUCCGGGACUCAGUGCCGCAGCUAACGCAUUAAGCACUCCGCCUGGGGAGUACGACCGCAAGGUUGAAACUCAAAGGAAUUGACGGGGGCCCGCACAAGCGGUGGAGCAUGUGGUUUAAUUCGAAGCAACGCGAAGAACCUUACCAGGUCUUGACAUCCCGAUGACCGCCCUAGAGAUAGGGUUUCUCUUCGGAGCAUCGGUGACAGGUGGUGCAUGGUUGUCGUCAGCUCGUGUCGUGAGAUGUUGGGUUAAGUCCCGCAACGAGCGCAACCCCUAUUGUUAGUUGCCAUCAUUCAGUUGGGCACUCUAGCGAGACUGCCGGUAAUAAACCGGAGGAAGGUGGGGAUGACGUCAAAUCAUCAUGCCCCUUAUGACCUGGGCUACACACGUGCUACAAUGGCUGGUACAACGAGUCGCAAGUCGGUGACGGCAAGCUAAUCUCUUAAAGCCAGUCUCAGUUCGGAUUGUAGGCUGCAACUCGCCUACAUGAAGUCGGAAUCGCUAGUAAUCGCGGAUCAGCACGCCGCGGUGAAUACGUUCCCGGGCCUUGUACACACCGCCCGUCACACCACGAGAGUUUGUAACACCCGAAGUCGGUGAGGUAACCUUUUAGGAGCCAGCCGCCUAAGGUGGGAUAGAUGAUUGGGGUGAAGUCGUAACAAGGUAGCCGUAUCGGAAGGUGCGGCUGGAUCACCUCCUUU
Molecule: ribosomal RNA, 1549 nt
Filed under: Streptococcus suis
Lineage: Bacteria; Bacillati; Bacillota; Bacilli; Lactobacillales; Streptococcaceae
Also listed under: 1 other name
Description: bacterial SSU rRNA
Rfam family: Bacterial small subunit ribosomal RNA
Source: RNAcentral